This is a non-coding RNA of Paramuricea clavata, 305 nucleotides long. The record is from the annotation of a GenBank genome assembly. Lineage: Eukaryota; Metazoa; Cnidaria; Anthozoa; Malacalcyonacea; Plexauridae.
AAUUUUAUUGUUUAGUAUAUUCUCAGAGGUAUAUUCUAUAAUGAUAUAUUUACUAUACACUGAUACACGUCUGGGCCGCCUGUGUUGUGAUUUAAUAAUAAUUGUGAAAUAACAAAUUAGCAAUCAAGUAUCUGUUCGUGUUUAUUUUUUGAACAUGCAUAUUUCUUCUUUAUACAAAUAAAAUGCUUUAACUCUUUCUCAACAGGGUCCAAUUUCGUCGACCGCGAGCGGUCGACAGGCUCGAAAAUUUCAUACUUUCGGUUCAGUGCAUGCUAUGAAGACAGAAAUACCACCAUUCGAUUCAG